This is a long non-coding RNA of Bubalus bubalis (water buffalo), 1009 nucleotides long. RefSeq lists it as uncharacterized. The transcript has 3 exons. The record is from RefSeq and is a predicted model, not a curated record. Lineage: Eukaryota; Metazoa; Chordata; Mammalia; Artiodactyla; Bovidae.
GUGUUGCCAUUUCCUAUUCCAGAGGAUCUUAUCAACCCAGGGAUUGAACCUGCCUCUCCACAUCUGUGGUUGGUUGAAUCCAUCAGAUGCAAAACCAUGGAUACAAAAGGUCAACUAUAUACGGAAUCCUCACAUCUACAAUUACAGCCCAGGUAUCACCUUCACCUUGCAUCUUCUGAUCCAGUUGCGCUGAAUUGCUUACAGGAAGACCUGUCCCUGCUGGCUUUUUGUGCAAGGAAUGCACCGCUGUUGUGCUGACUGAAGCAUGAAGUUCAGUGGCUGAGAGGAGCGAUGCUGACUACACGCACCCACAGGGAUGAGAAGAAUUAGCUGUUGCUGAUGUGCAUACUGACCCAAGCCCAUCAACCAGAUAAUUACCAGUCUCUGUUGCCUUUAAGACUGGAUCCUAUCCAGGAAAAUGGAAGCAGAGAAGGAGGAGGCUUGCAAGCCACUGAAGUUGCCAUGAAAAUUUGGCGAGAGAGCCAGGCAAAACCAAAUCAGAAGAGACAACUGGGAAACCCAAGGCAGAAGUCAGCAGGGCCCUGUGUGAAGCGCACAUUAGCACGUAGCAGUGAAACAUGCCAGCUUUGUCAAAACAGCAUCUAUCCUUUUUCGUUCUCCCUCGUGAUUUCCAAGAAUUCAACUACUUCUGUAUUUAAGGACAUGGACAUUUCCUUUCUCUCUGUGUUACUUGUACCAUUUGGGAUAUGCCCAUGCUCAGGUUUCCUGACUACCUUAAAUAGUCCACGGAAAAGGGAAAAUAGGCUUUAAAAAACUCUCCUGCCUGUCGGGAAAGCCCAUGUAAUACCCCAGCCUCAUUCUGUACUUCAGUGUGCACACACAAGUUUCUAAGUGCACUGUGGAACAGAAGAAUAAGCAAACUGGAGCCUAAUUGACCAUCUUAAAAUCUAUAAUUUAAAUGUAUACAUCAGCCACACUUCACAACAGGCAAGUUCCUUUGUGCUCCCCAAGGACACUGCUGAUUCCUCGAGUCUGUGAUUGAAUUCAA